CGUACGUGUUACUUGGAUAACUGUGGUAAUUCUAGAGCUAAUACAUGCGAAAAGCGCCGACUCACGGAGGCGUGCAUUUAUCAGACCAAAAACCGACCGGGCCUCGGCCCGUGCUCGUUGGUGACUCUGGAUAACUUUGCGGAUCGCACGGUCUUGCACCGGCGACAAAUCAUUCAAGUGUCUGCCCUAUCAACUUUCGUCGGUACGGUAUCUGCCUACCGAGGUUCUUACGGGUGACGGGGAAUCAGGGUUCGAUUCCGGAGAGGGAGCCUGAGAAACGGCUACCACUUCCAAGGAAGGCAGCAGGCGCGCAAAUUACCCAUUCCCGACGCGGGGAGGUAGUGACGAAAAAUAACAAUGCAGGACUCUAACGAGGCCCUGUAAUUGGAAUGAGUACACUCUAAAACUUUUAACGAGUAUCCAUUGGAGG
Molecule: ribosomal RNA, 430 nt
Filed under: eukaryotic picoplankton environmental sample
Lineage: Eukaryota
Description: SSU rRNA
Rfam family: Eukaryotic small subunit ribosomal RNA
Source: RNAcentral